Oryza sativa Japonica Group (Japanese rice) is the source of this 4166-nucleotide non-coding RNA. The record is from RefSeq and is a predicted model, not a curated record. NCBI's taxonomy places the organism in Eukaryota, Viridiplantae, Streptophyta, Magnoliopsida, Poales, Poaceae.
GGCCCAACUAGUAUAGGCACCACGUGGGCCGCUUCCCCGUUCUGGGCUAACAAGUUUCAGGUUUCCCGCUUCAGCCCAAGCAGCCCAUCUUUCUUCCUUCCUCGGAGCGAAAUCCACCGCCGCCGCCGCCGCUCCAAACUCCGGCGACGACUCCACUACAGCCGUCGCCGCGUGCUGGCCGCCUCCUCCGUCUCCGGUGUAAAUCCGCCUCCCCGCGCCCCUCCGCGUCUUCCACCUCCGAAGAUUCAGAGAAAACCAAAGCUUCAGUUCGUAAUCAGAUGAAUGCAUAAAGGGAGGCCAAAUGAUCAAAGAAAGCUGCAACCAUUCUGAGAACAAGGUAAGUUGCAACCAUUCUGAGAACAAGGUAAGUUGCAACCAGCAAUGGCCCUCCUGCCUGACAAAAGUUAAUUAAGCAGUCCAUGUUCUUGAAAUUGAUGCACAACUGCACACGGUACAAGCACUAAAGAAGUAAUGAUACACCCUUUUACAGCAAAACAUAUCUGUGGAUCAUGCGUUGAUUACUAUGACAAUAAUUUGGCUGAAGAAUUGUGUAGUAGUACAAUGCAACCAACAACAGAUGAAUAUUCAUAUCGUUCAGCAAAGUGCAUCAUAUUCCGCUGUAAAACAAACCCAACAAGGCUUCCUGACCAAACAACAAUCCCAAAGGUGGUAGCGUACAUGACAAGGGCUUGUGAAAACUGAAAAGAAACUGCCUUAGAGAUGAACGAUGGAGAAGCCAGACUCAUACUACUCUGUUAAUCACCCUUUGAGAUGAACGAUGGAGAAGCCAGACUCAUACUGCCUUAGGAGCACUUCCAGUGAACAUUUGCUGGCCCAACUCAUACUACUCUGUUAAUCACCCUUUGAUAUGCAGUGAUGCACAUGUUUAGGAUAGAUGCAAAAGUUUGUUUCUAUCUGAUAAAAUGAAGCACAUGCUCUUCAGACACAGCACAAUCCGCGUUCAUGAAUUAUUUUAAUGUGGUGUUUGUGAUUCCUUUUAUGUUCGGAGAAGGCCUGAUUACAGAAAUGAAUGGAAAUGGCUGGUGCGUAUAGGACAAAGCCUCUUCUAAAAAAUCCUGCUACUACUUUUGUCAUCUACAGAAGACAAAGAACAUGUUUUCCAGUGAACUGUACGUUUUCUUAAAUUUGAGGCUGCUCUUCGCAAUCUAAACUACUUCCUUUUCUUGAUCUUUCCUUCCUAAACUUGGUAUUGCUUUGGUUCUAAUAUUUCUACUUGCUCACUCAUAAACUCUACCAAAUUAAUUCUUCUUGGCUAGGUACACCAACAAUGCUUCAAUAAAAAAUUGGGUUUAAUAUAGUGACUGGAUUGUGAUGAUUCAGCCAGAAUGAAUAAUGUAAAGAACUAAAGACUUCAAUAUUUGCAUAAAUAAAUUCAAGAAAAAAUUCAGUAACCAAAGCAACUUGAAAAUAACCACCUAUAAAAACAGCCACCUCCGUUUAUCAAUAGGACUAUGCAAAUCAACCUUAGGCUUACCUCAGCAUUUGUACAUUAAGGAUGAUACAAUAAUGGCCUUUAAUCCUUUUUCAUGUCACCUAGUACAUCUCGUAGUGACUUGAAGGUAUCUGCAACUAUUACUAAUACAUGGAUCAACUUUGUCACCUACACAGGUAUGGAUUUAAUGAUCAUCAAUCGUCACAGUGAAGAGUCUCCAACCUUGGCAUCAAUUUUUCCCCUGGUCCAGCCCAAUAGAAGGACAAGCUGAAUCCAAGUACAAAAGAAGCUGCUGCGACCCAUAUAGCUGAUCUGAAAUCAUCCUGGGAGCCUUUCAUACUGCCUGAAGUUCUAUUUUCUUCCGUGUCUAGUAUGAUGCCUGGAUUUCCAGUUACAUUGACCAUCACCCAUUUAGGUAGCUCAGGCAAUGGUCCGGAAAGGUUAUUGUCUGAAAGGAAUAGACACAUUAAUCUUUCCAGGUUUGCAACUGAGGAUGGCACCUGACCUGACAAGUAGUUUUUUGAAAGAUCAAGACGCUCCAACUUCAGAAAGGUUCCAAUGUUUGUGGGGAUAAUUCCAAUCAACUCAUUGUUCCCCAGAUCAAUGGUGAUCAGAGACUGCAGCAAGCUGAUCGACGAUGGAAUCACACCAUUGAGCUUGUUGCCAUGCAAACCUAAGUAGCAGAGCUUCAGUGACUGAGUAGAAUUUGUGAAAGGUAGUUCUCCAGUGAAUGAGUUAUGACUCAGGUUAAGUAUUUCCAGGGCUGACAUGUCAGAAAAUGAACUUGGGAUAUCUCCACUGAGAUUGUUCUUUUGGAGCUUCAAGACUACGAGCUGCUCAAGGUUGCCCAGCCCAAUAGGUAUAUUACCCUGCACCUGGUUUGAUGACAGAUCGAUGAGUGCCAAGUUCUUGCAUCUGCUGAGCUGCCAAGGUAUAUAUCCAACCAACUUAUUGCCAUCUAACAGAAGAUUAACCAAGUCAAUGGCAUUGCCUAUUGAUUCUGGGAUGCUUCCACCGAGCAAGUUUCGACCAAGCCGAAUACUAUGGAGGCUCCGAGAAACAUUCCCAGGGAUGAACCCUUCAAGCCUAUUUGCAGUGAGGUCAAUGGUCUCCAAAGUAUCAGGUGAGAGCAGUUCAGAGGGUAUAUCACCAUUGAGCAUGUUGUAACUCAAAUCCAACAUCCUAAUGUUCCUGGUAAUUCCUUGAGGAAUUGAGCCAACAAAAUUAUUCUGAUUACCUCCAAACCGAAACAGUGUGGUGACAUUCAGCAAGCUCCGUGGAAUUUUUCCUGUCAGGUUGUUUUCUGAAAGGACCAAAAUCCUGAGUUUUGGGAAGCUCAAGAAGCCAUCUGGGACAUCACCGUGUAGAUUAUUGCGGCAGAGAUCCAACAGAGUAAGAUUUCCAUACCUGAACAAACCCAUUGGAAUAUGAUCACUGAAAUUAUUACCCGAGAGCACGAGGUCUUCCAGAGAGGUAGCGAUGCUUGUAGGGACUGGGCCUUCAAAACCAUUGGAACUAAGGUUCAAGCUUCUCAGUUUUGGCAAAUCACUCAGCUGGGUACUUAUAUUGCCAUUUAAAGAGUUGGAGGACAAAUCAAGAACCUCGAGCUUGUGAAAACCAACGAAAUCACCAAGUUGACCAGACAGCAUAUUGCUACUGAGAUCCAGCACUUGCAAUUCAGCCUUCAUGGGGCACGGAGAGAGUUGGCUUGGCAAAUCGGUGAACGAGUUUCUCGAGAGGUUAAGAGAUCGCAAGGUAUGAAGAUUGCAUAUGGACGCAAGGAUGGUGGCAUUGGAGAGGCCACAUCCGGGGAGGGAUAGCCUAGUGACAAACGCAGAGGAUGCAACUGAAGAGCAAUGAACACCACUCCAUUGGCAUGGAUUUGAGCAGGUGUUCCAGUUCUUGGUACUGCCCACCGAGCUCAGAAUAUCUCGCAUGAUGUCCUCGUGUGCCUUGUUCAGUCGCGCUGGCGAUUGUUCGGUGGACGCUGCCAUGGGCACACCAAGAAGCAAGAACAGCAGCAGUAACAGUAAGCACAGGCUUCUAUCGGGAGCAUGGUGCCGACUCAUCACCUCCAUGGCUACUCUCAGCACUUUCUCCAUCUUUCCUCCUGCAACAUAUGAAGACAGAGAAGCACAAUGUUCAACACAAAAAAUGUUCAAACUUCAGACGUUGUGUUGAAGAACGGUGACACAUGUAGGAAGGGGUCCAGCAGACUGACUGAGCACGGCCAGCAUUCGUUGUCACCGGUUCUCAUUUGUCAACCAACCCCAGAGACCAUUCAUCGUGCAGCGUCUUGACUUGCAAUGGUUUUUACUGGGCAUCAGGAUGUGGCCACAAGUCGGUGUCACAGUUGGCAAAAACACUGAAAUCGUUCGAGCAAAUGGAGCUGGUUUGCAGGAAAGAGGAAUGAGAUUUGCAACCCAAAAGAAUUAAAAUUCGACAGGGAGAUGGAUAACUACAUCAUCAAGACGCUAUGCUGUCACGAUUGACAAAAGCACGCGCACACGUAGAAAUUGUAAAAUGGUAGUAGCUGUCAUUCAGUGAUCAAACACAAUGUCGUAUGCUACAAUUGUUCUAAUUUCUAAAAUGAUUGGUACAUACUAAUCAUAUAAACAUAAAGAGAUAACUAUAGACUCAUGUUAAAUGUUUAGGAGAUUGUAUCUUUGUUGUUCAGCACAAAUUCACGAUAUAUUGUAUCAUCAUUAUGUUA